AUGGUAGGAUAGAGGCCUACCAUGGUUUUAACGGGUAACGGGGAAUUAGGGUUCGAUUCCGGAGAGGGAGCCUGAGAAACGGCUACCACAUCCAAGGAAGGCAGCAGGCGCGCAAAUUACCCAAUCCCGACACGGGGAGGUAGUGACAAUAAAUAACAAUAUGGGGCUCUUACGAGUCUUGUAAUUGGAAUGAGUACAAUUUAAAUCUCUUAACGAGGAACAAUUGGAGGGCAAGUCUGGUGCCAGCAGCCGCGGUAAUUCCAGCUCCAAUAGCGUAUAUNAAAGUUGUUGCAGUUAAAAAGCUCGUAGUUGAAUUUCGGGAUUUAUCCGUCGGUCGGGCUUUUGGGUCUGUACUGGCGUGAUGGAUUCCUACCUUCUGAAUAACCGGCAUGUCAUUAAUUUGGUGCGCCGGGGAAGCAGGACUGUUACCUUGAAAAAAUUAGAGUGCUUAAAGCAGGCUUAUGCCUGAAUACAUUAGCAUGGAAUAAUGAAAUAGGACGGCAUGGUUCUAUUUUGUUGGUUUCUAGGAUCACCGUAAUGAUUAAUAGGGAUAGUUGGGGGCAUUAGUAUUCAAUUGUCAGAGGUGAAAUUCUUGGAUUUAUUGAAGACUAACUUCUGCGAAAGCAUUUGCCAAGGAUGUUUUCAUUAAUCAAGAACGAAAGUUAGGGGAUCGAAGACGAUCAGAUACCGUCGUAGUCUUAACCAUAAACUAUGCCGACUAGGGAUCGGACGAUGUUAAUUUUUUAAUGACUCGUUCGGCGCCUUACGGGAAACCAAAGUGUUUGGG
Molecule: ribosomal RNA, 787 nt
Filed under: uncultured Acaulospora
Lineage: Eukaryota; Fungi; Glomeromycota; Glomeromycetes; Diversisporales; Acaulosporaceae
Description: SSU rRNA
Rfam family: Eukaryotic small subunit ribosomal RNA
Source: RNAcentral